This is a non-coding RNA of Neomonachus schauinslandi (Hawaiian monk seal), 73 nucleotides long. The record is from the annotation of a RefSeq genome assembly. Lineage: Eukaryota; Metazoa; Chordata; Mammalia; Carnivora; Phocidae.
GCCUGCCUGGCUCAGUUGGUAGAGCAUGUGACUCUCGAUCUCAGGGUUGUGAGUUUGAGCCCCAUGUUGGGCA